CCAGCAGCCGCGGUAACUCCAGCUCCAAUAGCGUAUAUUAAAGUUGCUGCAGUUAAAAAGCUCGUAGUUGGAUCUCGGUACCACUGUUGCUCGUCAGUCCUUUGGCAGGUGGCUAUGCCGCACGCACGCACACACGCACGCAUGGGUACGUAUUGCACGGCCUGUGUUGCUGCUGUUGUUGUUGUUGUUGUUGCUAUGGCUACUCUACUCGAGUUGGCGGUAUGACAGUGUCGCCUUUCAGCCAUGUCUGUGGUGAAAUACCCUCAGGUGCAGGCUAGUGUCGGAUGGUGCCCAGCACUAGUUGGGUCCGUCGGCUCGUCUGCAUGCCUCUAGAUGCCCUUCAAAAGGUGUCUGUGGGCGGAUGGCACGUUUACUUUGAACAAAUUUGAGUGCUCAAACCAGGCCGAUGUUGCCUGAAAAGUUUUGCAUGGAAUAAUGGAAUAGGACUUCGGUUCUAUUUCGUUGGUUUUCGGAUCCGAAGUAAUGAUCAAAAGAGACAGGCGGGGG
This 507-nucleotide ribosomal RNA is filed under the name Ophiotaenia ophiodex. RNAcentral describes it as "bacterial SSU rRNA". It matches the Rfam family "Eukaryotic small subunit ribosomal RNA", at positions 567 to 888 of the family's 1831-position model. The record is from RNAcentral. Lineage: Eukaryota; Metazoa; Platyhelminthes; Cestoda; Proteocephalidea; Proteocephalidae.